UGGGGAAUAUUGCACAAUGGGCGCAAGCCUGAUGCAGCCAUGCCGCGUGUGUGAAGAAGGCCUUCGGGUUGUAAAGCACUUUCAGCGAGGAGGAAGGUGGUGAGCUUAAUACGCUCAUCAAUUGACGUUACUCGCAGAAGAAGCACCGGCUAACUCCGUGCCAGCAGCCGCGGUAAUACGGAGGGUGCAAGCGUUAAUCGGAAUUACUGGGCGUAAAGCGCACGCAGGCGGUUUGUUAAGUCAGAUGUGAAAUCCCCGGGCUCAACCUGGGAACUGCAUUUGAAAACUGGCAAGCUAGAGUCUCGUAGAGGGGGGUAGAAUUCCAGGUGUAGCGGUGAAAUGCGUAGAGAUCUGGAGGAAUACCGGUGGCGAAAGGCGGCCCCCCUGGACGAAGACUGACGCUCAGGUGCGAAAAGGCGUGGGGGCAGCAAAACAGGAUUAGAUACCCUGGUAGUCCACGCUGUAAAACGAUGUCGA
Molecule: ribosomal RNA, 477 nt
Filed under: uncultured bacterium
Lineage: Bacteria
Description: partial 16S ribosomal RNA
Rfam family: Bacterial small subunit ribosomal RNA
Source: RNAcentral